Cyprinus carpio carpio is the source of this 737-nucleotide long non-coding RNA. NCBI's taxonomy places the organism in Eukaryota, Metazoa, Chordata, Actinopteri, Cypriniformes, Cyprinidae. The record is from Ensembl.
CGCGCAUUUAAUUUGCGCUUUGUUUUGAGGUUGUUUUGAAAAAAUAAUAAUACUAAUAUCAUUCAAAAACAAGAGUGUCAGUAGUUUAUAUUACUGUAGUGUUAUUAUCUGGAAUAUGAAUGUGUUUCUUAAACACGUCAUUACGUAAACACUAACGUCAGUCAGAGAUCGGGCGGCGCGCGAGGUUCAUUUCUUCGGAGAGCGCGCGGGAACGUGAUGAUCUGUUUACCGUUAUGAGGAGAAUUAACGGUGACUUUUGGAGAAAAGAUGCGGCUUUACCGAAGCGCUGUGUCUGACACACGGAGCGAAUUCCUGAGGAAAGUCAGUCAGUCAGAUCAAGUCAGGAUGAAGCAGUUGCACUCUUAUCCCCUUUGAGAUGAACUCUGAACGAGUCGAGCGACCCCGGAGCCAAUACGUCCAGGAUGGUUUUAACUAGGCCAAAACACAGCAGCGAGGAAGGAGUGUAAUUGGGAAAAGAGCCACAGUGGACGUGCAGGGCCAGAGGGGUGCCAACAUCACAAUGUGUGCAGCAGUAUCCACUGAUGGACCGCUGUUACACAGACCGCUAAUUGGCCCAUACAACACUGAGCGUCUCAUUUCAUUCCUGGAUGAGCUCUGUGGAAGAACUGUGCCAGGAUAGGAAAGGGAUGCGGUGGGCCAGCAUUUAUUAUUGUAUGGGACACUGUGGCAUUCACUACUCCUUUACUGUCACAGAGUGGACUGCAUGGAGUCACUUU